Molecule: RNA transcript, 2685 nt
Organism: Hippocampus zosterae (dwarf seahorse)
Lineage: Eukaryota; Metazoa; Chordata; Actinopteri; Syngnathiformes; Syngnathidae
Gene: caly
Gene name: calcyon neuron-specific vesicular protein
Exons: 6
Source: RefSeq, a predicted model, not a curated record
GUCAUGCGCAGUGCGCUCACAACCCAUCACCACGGCAACCAUCUUUCGCAGCCAAGUCCCCGGCAGCAUCAGUGGCGUGCGAUCACCUCCGCUUUGGCCACAGAGCAGAGACAUCCGCAUGCAGACAUGGUCAAGCUGGGCACCAAUCUGGCUGAUAAAAUGGAGAAGCAGCCGUCUGCAGACGACGGCUUUGAUAUCAUCCCCCUCAUCACGCCCCUCGAGGUCAGCCAGCUCCAGCAGUCUUUUGCAGACAAGGUUAUUGUGAAGACGACGACUCAUUACCAACUGCAGCAGCAGAAGAAGAAAAAAGACAAGUUGUUCAUCCCCAGCAUUGAGAAGCUAAACAUCAACUUUUACAAAGAUGUCUCCGACAGAGCCAAGAUCACAGGCCUGAUCCUCAUCAUGUUGGCCUUCCUAACCAGCCUCCUCCUCCUGCUCAUGUACAAAGCCAUGUGGUAUGACCGUCUUACCUGCCCCCAGGGUUUCAUCCUUCAGCAAAGGCACUGCACUCCGGCCGCUCUGGGCAUGUUCUCCAGCGAGCAGCAGAAUCCCGCAGGCAUCCAAGACAGCACCAACUCUGGACUGUAUGCCGCCCUCAGCCGCCUCAACCAAGUCAAGAGGGCAGGGCCCGAGAUGCCGUCGCCAUGGUUGCCAGUCAUCAGAGCACUGAAAAAGACCGAUGCCGUCAAACAUGACAGCCAGACAGUCCAAGGUGAACUGGAAGGAGAGGAAUGAAUGUUUGUGUGCUUGGUUUUUUGUUUUUGUGGGGGGGGGUUCCCCCUCACCGGGCAGUCAAACAUGCUUCGAUGCAUCCCAUAAUCAAAUUGUGUGUGUGUGUGUGUGUGUGCGCGAGUGUUCGAGGCUGUGGUCAGAGGCAAGAAUGUUAUGACAAUGUUGGAAAAUGUCACUUGCAGUUUCACCGAGUGCGACUUAACUCCCGUGUACACCACAUGAAUUCACUACGUAUCUGAAUUUGUGGCGUAUGUUGUCACAGGGGAAUAUCGAAGGUAACACAUUUUAUUCACUUUUGCCUCAUCAUUUGCUGUCACAAUGGGAAUUUUUAGAAAAUAUGCUAUCAUUAUGAAACUUACCCUGAAUAAGAAAUGUGUGCGCAUCAAAACUGACUGUUCUGACCCAUGCAAGAAGAAUUGUCAUUUUAACCAUCGUACAUAAGUAAAUAACCUAAAAGAAUGUCUUAUGAUUUUUGAAUAUGAAUGUAUUUGAUGUAGCUACUUUUGUCUGCACAAGCCGAACAUGUUUUCUAUUGUACCAAUUUUAUCUUCUGUUAUUUACAAUUACAAGUAAUUGUACAUUCGUUUGGAAUGUUGACGCCAAUUUAAAAAAUUAUUAUUUAAAAAUCAUUACAAUUUAAAAAUCUGGCGUUGUAAUGUGUUAUUAUCGUCACCCUUUUCGAAAUUUAUUUCAAAUGCUGAUGAAAUUACGUUUUGGAACAUGCCUGUUUGUGCGUGAGCGUGCGUGUAGGAGUGUGAGAUCACAGCACAGCUUGUCCUUACAUCACAACAAUCUGCCCGGAUCUCAUUGCAUGGACAUAAAUAAAAAAAAAAUUGGUUGUACGACCUCUGCAAUUAAGUCAUUUCUGCAACUCUUAAUUAGACGGGAUAAAGAAAAGGUAGUUUCAAUUUAAUUCGAGAACCAUUCUGUUUUUUUCUUUUUAAUGAAAGAAGGCCAACAAUUAUGUCUAGUUUUAGAACUGCUAACCUACAGAAUUCAAGCACAAAGACGUUUCAAGAUGUCUACCUUGAAUCAUUUCAGAGGAACACAGAUAAAGAAGAGACUUUUGAAUGAAAGAAAUCAACAUUUUUUAAGUUUGGCGUACUUUCGUUUUUGCCCAGGGGAGUUUCAUUACCUUUGUUGCUGUUGGUUUGUUUGAAAGGUUUUGCUUAUCCCUGAUUUUUAGUGAUUGAUUGUCAAAAUAUUUCUAUUCACUUGUACUUAUUCAAGUUUCAAGCUGUUUUCGUUGCUACGCUUGGGGUUUUUUUCUUUAACAAUAUAGAAACAACAAUUUUAUCCAUGUGUAACAGUAAAUAUUCAUCUGCAUCUCAUUUGCUCUCACAAAUUUUCCCACAAGUGCUCGGAAUCAGUAAUUCAGGGUUCUGAGUGUGUGUGGCCGUUUUAAACAAAUGUUAAACAUCACCGCGCGCGUCACGUGACUCAUCCCCGUGUGCAUUUGUUUACGCGGUCAUGCUGGCAGCAUUGUAGCAGUGGCUCCUAUGAGGAAAGGACACUAUCACCUCCACAUAAUCAAAAAUACAGUGGUGAUCAUUUUUGUAUUUUUACAAGGAGAAGCGGACAAGGGUAGGGUUGUGGAUAGUUUUCAGCCAUGUAGCAAUGCUAAAGCUUUGCUACAACUCCAUGAGCAGACAGGCAUGGCUGUUACCGCCCAACAGCUCCUGUGGCUUGUCGAGGCAGAGUUGGCUGUUGACGGCACAACAGAUAAGUGGGUUUCCUCUCCGCUGGCGCCAGCUGGAAAUGCCUCCACGAAGCUGAGGCAGUACACACAUCAUCCUCCAUUCAGCUCUACUGGGGCCUCUUUGAUGGGAGUAACAUUAGACAAGCUGAGAGCACACACAACAGAAACAGAUCCUAUCAAGCUGCUGUUUGAAGGGCGGGAGCCACUGAUCAUAACUUACCGAAGGUUCAGCCGGACUGGCUUUUGUUGCCUAC